This 531-nucleotide ribosomal RNA is filed under the name uncultured bacterium. RNAcentral describes it as "bacterial SSU rRNA". It matches the Rfam family "Bacterial small subunit ribosomal RNA", at positions 12 to 580 of the family's 1533-position model. The record is from RNAcentral.
UUUGAUCCUGGCUCAGGAUGAACGCUAGCGGGAGGCUUAAUACAUGCAAGUCGAGGGAGAAACCAUCUUCGGAUGGCGGAGACCGGCGCACGGGUGAGUAACGCGUACGCAACCUACCCUUAACUGGGGGAUAGCCUUGGGAUAACUGAGAAUAAUACCCCAUAGUUUUCGAUUGUGGCAUCGCGGUCGAAAUAAAGUUCCGACGGUUAAGGAUGGGCGUGCGUCCUAUUAGCUAGUUGGUGAGGUAACGGCUCACCAAGGCAAUGAUAGUAGGGGGCGUGAGAGCGUGACCCCCCACACGGGUACUGAGACACGGACCGACUCCUCGGGAGGCAGCAGUAAGGAUAUGGACAUGGGCGAAAGCUGACCGCCUCCCGCGUGCAGAAGAAGGCCUAUGGUUGAAAUGGUUUUGUAGGAAGAAUAUCUCAUUUUCGGAUUUGCCGUACCUUCCAAUAAGCACGGCUAUUCCGGCAGCAGCCCGGUAUCAGAAGUGCGAGCUUUUCGGAAUCCUGGGUUUAGGUGCAAGCGUUU